CAUUUUUAACGAGGUAGUGGAUUAAAGUCUAGUUGUUUCAGUGGCGCCAUACCAUGCUGCGGCUGCGGCUGAGGUCUUGGCGGAGGCGGCGGCGGCGCAUCAGGCGCCAUCUUGGGCGGCAGCGGCGGCGGACUCGCGCUGCUGCUGCAACACGCAAAAUAACUUUAAAUACGGACGCUUGCUGUCAAAAUUCUGAUGGUGGUCACGUUCUGUUAUAAUAUAUAUAAAAUUUUAUCUCUGCUUUAGUCUUUAGCGAGUGGCGAAUUUACACAAUUGUCCUUAGUAUUCAAACUUUGCCGCUCCUACCGACCUAUAUAACCAAGGUAUUGAACCCUGGUCAACAAUCAUAUUACACCUAUCCGUCAACAUCAUGAAGCCAACCAGCAGACAUUGGGAAGGGGGGGGGGGGGGUUGUUAAUAAUGCGGAUUACUUGUUCCACUGCUGGCAAUAUACCCUGUCAGGUCAGCCUCCACGUGGUCCUCCCGGACCAUCAUGCUGACCUGUUUUUCAUUCUCACCUAUCAUCUCCCACUGGUGCCUCGCCAGUGUAUACCGUUAGCGCAAGCGGGGUUACCAUUCCAUUAUCAUCCAUUAAAAAAAAAAAAACAAAA
Long non-coding RNA from Galleria mellonella (greater wax moth), 611 nucleotides. RefSeq lists it as uncharacterized. The record is from RefSeq and is a predicted model, not a curated record. The transcript is spliced from 2 exons. NCBI's taxonomy places the organism in Eukaryota, Metazoa, Arthropoda, Insecta, Lepidoptera, Pyralidae.